UACGUAGGGUGCGAGCGUUGUCCGGAAUUAUUGGGCGUAAAGAGCUCGUAGGCGGUCUGUCGCGUCGAUCGUGAAAACUUGGGGCUUAACCCUGAGCUUGCGGUCGAUACGGGCAUGACUGGAGUUCGGCAGGGGAGACUGGAAUUCCUGGUGUAGCGGUGAAAUUCGUAGAUAUUAGGAAGAACACCGGUGGCGAAGGCGGCCCACUGGCUCGACACUGACGCUGAGGUGCGAAAGCGUGGGGAGCAAACAGG
Molecule: ribosomal RNA, 254 nt
Filed under: uncultured bacterium
Lineage: Bacteria
Description: partial 16S ribosomal RNA
Rfam family: Bacterial small subunit ribosomal RNA
Source: RNAcentral